Long non-coding RNA from Papaver somniferum (opium poppy), 4039 nucleotides. RefSeq lists it as uncharacterized. The record is from RefSeq and is a predicted model, not a curated record. Lineage: Eukaryota; Viridiplantae; Streptophyta; Magnoliopsida; Ranunculales; Papaveraceae. The transcript is spliced from 5 exons.
AGCAGAUUUAUCACCUUGGAAUUAGUGAAAUGUGACGUCUUCUAACUAAGUUUUUAACCCUAGUUAUUAUCCAUAAUCCUAGUUAUUUAUCCACCGUAUGUUUCAAAAAUAUUUGUUCCUUCGUUUGCCAUAUACGUGAUACUACUCCGGCCUUCUUUGUUGUCGUCGUGAGAAAGCAGAAUUCUAUUCUGCGGAACCAAACUACUCUGUCAAACAAAGGAAAAUCUUCAACGGAAGUGGACCCGAAAUGCUUGAUAUCAGUAUUCUUUCUAAUGGUAUAAACGGUGAUGUUAAUUGUUGCUAAUGGUGUUAACGGUGAUGUUAAUGGUGCUGAUACCAUGAGGUUGAUUAUGAACAUGUCGAUGAGAGGAUGAAGACCAUCUUUUUAACCCGAGGCUGAAUUGGAGAUUGAUAUUCUUGGUUUUUUAAUCUGGUAUAUAACUUCGUUACAAAGUUCAUGGUGGGAAAUGGUAAAGAAUUUCAUCCAAAUCAAGGCUGGUAAAAAGUCUACUAAAAAUGGAACAUAUUGAUCAUGAUGAAACAACCCUAGAUUUUCUUUGUACUUAAAUGUUCUGAAAGUUGAUCAUUAAUUUUUAUGGAUUACACGCCUUUGAUUGAUUAAUCCUUCUUUACCGCUACAAAUAAAAAAUAAUACAAAUCAUAAUUCAUAAAAUAGUUCGGUGCAGAAAUUGUAGAUAGGUGCUUCGUUAGUUUGCGUCGUGAUAUGAUAACGACAAAGAUUUGGGUGAUUAUCAAAGAUCUUUGAGCAAAUCAUAUGACUUACUCGGUUGCCUUAGCGAGGUUGGGAAAAAAUUCGUUGACCAAUUAUGGGGUGAGGUAAUUAGGGUUAGUUCAUAUAGUUAGGUGACGUCACAUCUCACUAAUCCGAAGGUGAUAAAUCUAGUAGUUCAAAAAUGAUCCCGCACUGCGGGAUCAAAAAUUUUGCUCAAAGCAAAGUACUCUUAGGAUUUUCUUUCAGGUUCCGAUUCAUAUCUUUUCGUGUUGCCGUAAUCUUUUCGCUUAUCUCCCAUAUUUCCCGUAACGUAUCUUAAACCCUAGAUUAUAUUCUCUGUUCGUAGGUAUUCCCAAUAGGUUUUCUCAAUCCAUAUUGAUUUUGCCUGCAUCUCAAAAAAAAACAAAAAAAAAAAAACCCUCAUCCUGGCAUUAAUUGGAUCCGGUCUAUAAAAUGGCUAAUCCGAAUCGAAAUCAACAUCAGUUUCAGUCUAACAUUUUAGGCCUAAAGAACAGACGAAAUGGCAUCUCAAAUCAAUAUCACACCACAGCAGGUACCAUCUUCAGCUACCCAGGAAAAGUUGAAGAGUUUACGAUCCCUUGACGAAGGAAAAUCAAGUGGCGUUACUGUUUGUGUUCCCAGGAAAUGGGAAGAAUUAGAUUUUGUGUUGCCAGCGUCGAUAUGAUUAUUGUCGACGAGUAGGGUGACGAGUUACAUGCCAUCAUACCCAAAAAUCUUAUCUGAAAAUUUGAUAAACAGAUUAGAGAGGGUGGUUUGUACACUAUUGAGAAAUUGCACCUGACUGCCGAAAAACCCGAGUUCAGGCCAGCAAACAGUGAAAAAAGAGGUUACUUUCGGUGGAACACCUCCUCUCCGCACUGGAUGGUUACUUCGUCUCAAUUAUCCCCCAUAAUUUCUGCUUCACUGAGUUUGAGGCACUCGAAUCGAAUCUUCUGAACAUACAUCUUACAGGACUUUGAAUCAUCAUUGGUUCAUCGAGCGGAAAUGCCAUUGCUCCUCCGAGGUUUGGUAUGAAAUAGCAUCCACGAUGAAAAGUCAAGUAGCAUCCGUAUGUAACGAUUACAUACGAGUUCCGCUAUAACUCAAAUUUGGGAAGAUGAGGAAUCCGAGCUUGGCAAAAGCAUUAGCAGACAAGAAGAGUGCAAAAUAGAGGGAUACCUAUUUGUCUUAACAGGAAGUCACCGACUGCCUUUAUGGCUUUAUGGCAACAAAUAAUGCUGGAGGGCUAGUGUGUUUUGCCGAGAACUACAAAGGGCAGUACUGAUCGCAAUUAGCAGUACUGAUCACCAAAUUUAACAACAAUAUGUCGAUAUGUAUUGUCAAGGACUUUGUUUUCAAGGUCAGGCGUCAUCCUUUCUGGCCAGAUGGAUUAAUAUCUUUCGUAAUCUUAUGCAAUGCAAUGAAAUUGACAAGCCGGGUUUAGUAGGAGAGUCAACAAUAAGAAGUCAAUAUAUGUGAUUGCAAUAAUUGCUUAAACUACAGUUCGGACCCAUAAAUACCAACACCACAACGGUACAAAAUACACAAACGGUAUUGAUCUGAUGAGAUCAAGAAACAAGUUCAGGAACUCCUAGAAUUAGGAAUCAUAGUGCCAAGUGCUUCACCUCGUGGAUCAGCGGUAUUGUUGGUACCAAAGAAAGAUGGAGGUUGGCGUAUGUGUAUUGAUUAUAGAGCAUUGAACAAGAUCACUACCAAGAAUCGUUACCCUCUACCUAGGAUAGACGACAUGAUGGAUCAGUUGGAAAAAAGCUCGAGUCUUUACGAAGUUAGAUUUCAAAUUCGGAUACCACCAGAUGAGAGUUCGAGAAGAUGACACAUGGAAAACUGCUUGCAAAACCAAAUAAGACUUGUUCGAAUGGUUGGUGAUGCCUUUUGGUUUGUGUAAUGCUCCAUCGACGUUUGUGCGUUUGAUGAAUGAUUUGUUACAACCUUUUAUAGAAGAUUUUGUGAUUUGUUUAUUUGGAUGAUAUCCUUAUAUACAACAGAACUUGGGAAGAACAUCCUGUUCAUGUUGAGAGGGUGUUUAAAGUGUUACAUGAAGGCCAGCUGAAGUUGAACGUAAAGAAGUGUGAAUUUGGGAAGAAGGAGUUAGUGUAUCUCGGAUUCAUUAUUGGUGGUGGACAACGGAAGAUUGAUCCAAAGAAGAUCGAAGUGAUCACUAAGUGGCCUAGACCUAGUACUGUAACUGAAAUCAGGAGUUUCUUAGGGGCUUGCACCUACUUGCGUAAGUUUAUCCGGCAUUUUUCGAAUAUUGCAGGACCAUUACAUGGUUUGAAGGGAGCUAAGGCAAAGUUUGAAUGGCAGCAGACCCAUGAAAAAGCUUUUUAGUUACUAAAGAGGAAGAUUUCAGAAGCACCGGUGUUGGCAUUUCCUAACUUACAACGUACUUUUGAAGUUGAGACCUACGCUUCUAACUAUGCGUUGGGAGGAGUGUUGUUACAGGAUGGUAAACCAGUGGAGUACUAUUCAGAAUUGUUCUCAGGUGCUAUUACGAACUACGCACCUUAUGACAAAGAAUUUUAUGCUUUAUAUCAAUGUAUCAAGCAUUGGCGAGUGUAUCUCUUAGGUAAAGAAGUAGUGGUACAUUCAGAUCACAAACCAUGAGAGUAUCUACAAUCACAGACGAAACUGUAACAAGCCCGACACGUGAAGUGGAUGUCUUACUUGAUGAGUUUCAACAUUAUCAUUAGGUACACGAAGGGAGUAACAAACAAGUUGGCAGAUAUGUUGUCUCGUCCUCCAGUCCGAGCAUUAAUGGUGGCCAUGGGAAUUCAUCUGAUUGUUCUUCAAGAGUAUGCAGAGUCAUACGCAUCUAUCAAAUACUUCAAGAAAGUGUUAGAAGGUGUAAAGAGUGGUUUGAAAGGUGAGUUUGAACUCCGAGAUGGAUUGUUAUACAAGGGUCAGUUACUUUGCAUUCCAGAAGCUGGAGAUUGUUUACAAUGGUUAAGAGAGGCACACACAUACCGAGUUGCUGGACACUUUGGGAUGAAUAAAACUCUUCUUAACCUUCGUCGUUAUGUCUUUUGGCCAAAGAUGCAAGAUGAUGUGGCUAAGUUGGUUAGAGGGUGUAAGUUGUGUAGCACAUUUAAACCUUCCAACAGAAAAUGCGGGUUAUAUCUACCAUUACCAGUACCAUCAAGGCCUUGGGAGAGUAUUUCUAUGGACUUUCUUGGUGGAUUACCGAAUACUAAGUCUGGUUAUGAUUACUUGUUCGUUGUGGUCGACCGAUUCAGCAAGAUGAUCGCAUUAAUUCCAUGUACGAAGACGGUAACGGGAGCCGGUGCA